Molecule: ribosomal RNA, 409 nt
Filed under: Actinomycetes bacterium
Lineage: Bacteria; Bacillati; Actinomycetota; Actinomycetes
Description: Actinobacteria bacterium partial 16S ribosomal RNA
Rfam family: Bacterial small subunit ribosomal RNA
Source: RNAcentral
UGGGGAAUAUUGCACAAUGGGCGGAAGCCUGAUGCAGCGACGCCGCGUGGGGGAUGAAGGCCUUCGGGUUGUAAACUCCUUUCGACAGGGACGAAGCUUUUGUGACGGUACCUGUAUAAGAAGCACCGGCUAACUACGUGCCAGCAGCCGCGGUAAUACGUAGGGUGCGAGCGUUGUCCGGAAUUACUGGGCGUAAAGAGCUAGUAGGUGGUUUGUCGCGUCGUCUGUGAAAUUCCGGGGCUUAACUCCGGGCGUGCAGGCGAUACGGGCUGACUUGAGUGCUGUAGGGGAGACUGGAAUUCCUGGUGUAGCGGUGAAAUGCGCAGAUAUCAGGAGGAACACCGAUGGCGAAGGCAGGUCUCUGGGCAGUAACUGACGCUGAGGAGCGAAAGCAUGGGUAGCGAACAGG